This 587-nucleotide ribosomal RNA is filed under the name uncultured bacterium. Its description in RNAcentral is "bacterial SSU rRNA". It matches the Rfam family "Bacterial small subunit ribosomal RNA", at positions 102 to 675 of the family's 1533-position model. The record is from RNAcentral.
ACGGGUGAGUAACACGUGGGCAACCUGCCCUUGAGACUGGGAUAACUUCGGGAAACCGGAGCUAAUACCGGAUAAUAUAAGGAACCUCCUGGUUCCUUGUUGAAAGAUGGUUUCGGCUAUCACUUAAGGAUGGGCCCGCGGCGCAUUAGCUAGUUGGUGAGGUAACGGCUCACCAAGGCGACGAUGCGUAGCCGACCUGAGAGGGUGAUCGGCCACACUGGGACUGAGACACGGCCCAGACUCCUACGGGAGGCAGCAGUAGGGAAUCUUCCACAAUGGACGAAAGUCUGAUGGAGCAACGCCGCGUGAGUGAUGAAGGCCUUCGGGUCGUAAAGCUCUGUUGUUAGGGAAGAACAAGUGCGAGAGUAACUGCUCGUACCUUGACGGUACCUAACCAGAAAGCCACGGCUAACUACGUGCCAGCAGCCGCGGUAAUACGUAGGUGGCAAGCGUUAUCCGGAAUUAUUGGGCGUAAAGCGCGCGCAGGUGGUUUCUUAAGUCUGAUGUGAAAGCCCACGGCUCAACCGUGGAGGGUCAUUGGAAACUGGGGAACUUGAGUGCAGAAGAGGAAAGUGGAAUUCCAAGUG